Molecule: ribosomal RNA, 429 nt
Filed under: Chloroflexota bacterium
Lineage: Bacteria; Bacillati; Chloroflexota
Description: Chloroflexi bacterium partial 16S ribosomal RNA
Rfam family: Bacterial small subunit ribosomal RNA
Source: RNAcentral
UGGGGAAUAUUGCACAAUGGGCGCAAGCCUGAUGCAGCCAUGCCGCGUGUGUGAAGAAGGCCUUCGGGUUGUAAAGCACUUUCAGCGGGGAGGAAGGCGAUAAGGUUAAUAACCUUGUCGAUUGACGUUACCCGCAGAAGAAGCACCGGCUAACUCCGUGCCAGCAGCCGCGGUAAUACGGAGGGUGCAAGCGUUAAACGGAAUUACUGGGCGUAAAGCGCACGCAGGCGGUCUGUCAAGUCGGAUGUGAAAUCCCCGGGCUUAACCUGGGAACUGCAUUGGAAACUGGCAGGCUAGAGUCUUGUAGAGGGGGGUAGAAUUCCAGGUGUAGCGGUGAAAUGCGUAGAGAUCUGGAGGAAUACCGGUGGCGAAGGCGGCCCCCUGGACAAAGACUGACGCUCAGGUGCGAAAGCGUGGGGAGCAAACAGG